This 413-nucleotide ribosomal RNA is filed under the name uncultured bacterium. Its description in RNAcentral is "bacterial SSU rRNA". It matches the Rfam family "Bacterial small subunit ribosomal RNA", at positions 505 to 916 of the family's 1533-position model. The record is from RNAcentral.
GUGUCAGCAGCCGCGGUAAUACGUAGGGUGCGAGCGUUAAUCGGAAUUACUGGGCGUAAAGGGUGCGCAGGCGGUUUUGUAAGACAGAUGUGAAAUCCCCGGGCUUAACCUGGGAACUGCGUUUGUGACUGCAAGGCUAGAGUACGGCAGAGGGGGGUGGAAUUCCGCGUGUAGCAGUGAAAUGCGUAGAUAUGCGGAGGAACACCGAUGGCGAAGGCAACCCCCUGGGCCUGUACUGACGCUCAUGCACGAAAGCGUGGGGAGCAAACAGGAUUAGAUACCCUGGUAGUCCACGCCCUAAACGAUGUCAACUAGUCGUUCGGAGCAGCAAUGCACUGAGUGACGCAGCUAACGCGUGAAGUUGACCGCCUGGGGAGUACGGCCGCAAGGUUAAAACUCAAAUAAAUUGACGG